GACGAACGCUGGCGGCGUGCUUAACACAUGCAAGUCGAACGAAGAGCGACGGAAGCUUGCUUCUAUCAAUCUUAGUGGCGGACGGGUGAGUAACGCGUAAUCAACCUGCCCUUCAGAGGGGGACAACAGUUGGAAACGACUGCUAAUACCGCAUACGAUCUAACCUCGGCAUCGAGGAGAGAUGAAAGGUGGCCUCUACAUGUAAGCUAUCACUGAAGGAGGGGAUUGCGUCUGAUUAGCUAGUUGGAGGGGUAACGGCCCACCAAGGCGAUGAUCAGUAGCCGGUCUGAGAGGAUGAACGUCCACAUUGGGACUGAGACACGGCCCAGACUCCUACGGGAGGCAGCAGUGGGGAAUCUUCCGCAAUGGACGAAAGUCUGACGGAGCAACGCCGCGUGAGUGAUGACGGCCUUCGGGUUGUAAAGCUCUGUUAAUCGGGACGAAAGGCCUUCUUGCGAAUAGUGAGAAGGAUUGACGGUACCGGAAGAGAAAGCCACGGCUAACUACGUG
Molecule: ribosomal RNA, 510 nt
Filed under: uncultured bacterium
Lineage: Bacteria
Description: partial 16S ribosomal RNA
Rfam family: Bacterial small subunit ribosomal RNA
Source: RNAcentral